GUCCCAGCAGCCGCGGUAAUACGUAGGGGGCAAGCGUUAUCCGGAAUCACUGGGCGUAAAGGGUGCGUAGGCGGCCGAUCAAGUCCGGGGUGAAAGGCUACGGCUCAACCGUAGUAAGCCUUGGAAACUGAUUGGCUUGAGUGCAGGAGAGGAGAGUGGAAUUCCUAGUGUAGCGGUGAAAUGCGUAGAUAUUAGGAGGAACACCAGUGGCGAAGGCGACUCUCUGGACUGUAACUGACGCUGAGGCACGAAAGCGUGGGGAGCAAACAGGAUUAGAUACCCUGGUAGUCCACGCCGUAAACGAUGAGUGCUAGGUGUUGGAGCCGACAGGCUUCGGUGCCGCAGCUAACGCAUUAAGCACUCCGCCUGGGGAGUACGGUCGCAAGACUGAAACUCAAAGGAAUUGACGGGGACCCGCACAAGCAGCGGAGCAUGUGGUUUAAUUCGAAGCAACGCGAAGAACCUUACCAGGACUUGACAUCCCUUUGACCGGUCCGUAAUGGGACCUUCCCUUCGGGGCAAAGGUGACAGGUGGUGCAUGGUUGUCGUCAGCUUCGUGUCGUGAGAUGUUGGGUUAAGUCCCGCAACGAGCGCAACCCUUGUCUUUAGUUGCCAGCAUGUAAUGAUGGGCACUCUAGAGAGACUGCCGGGGAUAACUCGGAGGAAGGUGGGGAUGACGUCAAAUCAUCAUGCCCCUUAUGUUCUGGGCUACACACGUGCUACAAUGGCUGGUACAACGGGCAGCGAAGGAGUAAUCUGGAGCAAAUCCUAAAAGCCAGUCUCAGUUCGGAUUGUGGGCUGCAACUCGCCCACAUGAAGUCGGAGUUGCUAGUAAUCGUGGAUCAGAAUGCCGCGGUGAAUGCGUUCCCGGGUCUUGUACACACCGCCCGUCACACCAUGGGAGUUGGGGGCACCCGAAGUCAGCUAUCUAACCGCAAGGAGGAAGCUGCCGAAGGUGAAUUCAAUAACUAGGGUGAAGUCGUAACAAGGUAACC
RNAcentral lists this ribosomal RNA (995 nucleotides) under uncultured bacterium. RNAcentral describes it as "bacterial SSU rRNA". It matches the Rfam family "Bacterial small subunit ribosomal RNA", at positions 505 to 1501 of the family's 1533-position model. The record is from RNAcentral.